UAAAACCACUGUCAUGUAUGUGCUUAUACAUAUAUGUUCCCUCCCAAUUUAUUCUCUGAUUUGUCUGUCCAUACCAUUUGAUUUUUAUUCUUUUCCAUUGUCUUAUGGUUUAGGAAGCAUUGAGCAGUUGCAUUGCAAAUACAAGGAACAUCAUCAGUCCAACAGAGAGGUAGCAACAAGAGGUUGAGGUUAUCACUCGAGGCAAGAAAUCCUAUCGUAUCCUUCCAAACGCAGAGAGGAGCAUUCCUUACUUUUAAUAGAUCAAAUAAUUCAAUGAUGCUUUGGUUUCUUACUAUUAUCUGUUGAAAUGCAUGGUAUCUGUUGAAGUGCGUGGUAAGGAUGACAAGCCUACCAAAUGUUUAUUCCAAAUCUAAAAUGAUAGCUCCCUGUUAUGCAUGCAUAAUCAGGAGCGAUAAGCCCUGCAUUUGGCCUUAAUAGGAUGAAAUAAAUAACUUAUCAUCGUUAUGCAGAUUAGCUAGGUUCAGCUAUGUGCUUAUGACAUAUCAUCAAUCUGUCCCCAUUGAUUAUGCGUGUAUUUUUCUCUUGUAUUAGCCUGAUGUAGAAAAUAACUGGAUUUUUUUUAUGUUCUUGCAUCGCAAGACCAGCUUGGGUGAGACUGCUAUUACCAAAUAGAUUGUUCUGAUUAAACCACAAUUUUUGUGGAACCGGUCUCUUUUAGCUCACACAUUAUCUCGAGAUUUAGUGUUACUAUUUUCUCUGAUGCCAAAUUGAUUCUGUUGAUUAUUUAUUAUAUAGAUAUAGUUCCUUCUUCUUGUUGUCUUUCUGUAGCAUCACUGACUGUACGUGCAUCUUAACAUCUCGAGUCAACGGUGAUACUGUUUUCAGUGUCUAAUUUUUUCUGUAAUGCAACUUCACGUGGAUGUAACAGAAUGUGCAAAGUUUCCUUCAACGCAAAGCUGCAAUGUGAUUUGAAAGUACCAGGUUUAGAUAGUGGAGGAUCCUGAAUUGAUGCAUAUAUUGCCUCCAAAGGUAACCAGGCUCCAAAGUGCAGAAUGAGGAGAGGUAUGCUUGCUGUUGUCUAUGUUAGUCUAUCUACUCAAUCACCUUCAUAUGAACAGGUGCAUCGGAAUUGUUUAUCUCAUUGCAUUGGAAUUGUUUCUUUGGUGCAGGGUUUCUGCUGUUAUUGUUAAAUCUUUUUUUUUGAGGGAAACAGCAGGACUCUGCUGCGUAUUUUAUUAUUUUAAAAAAAUAUAUAGUACAAAGAAUAAGGUCUGAAAAAAUAAAAAAAAUACUAUACAUCAAAGAUACAAACAAAACUAAGAAGAGACAGUAAACAACAAAUACAACAGCAGCAUAGCAAGUUAUCUAAAGGAUUUGAUCCAAGCCUUUAUUGUUAAAUCUUAAUGAAACAUCUGUUCCUGGUUCAGAGGUUUAUAAGUUCCCUUUCUCAAAUAUUGAGGUGAUGUAUUUUCAAACCUCAAUGCAAAAUGGUUAGUCAGUCUCAAACAGCUGCAGCUCUACUUUCCAGGUCAUGGGCAUCCCAAAGAAACUUGUUCCGACCAUUGGCAUUUUCAUGGACCACCGCCAGAAGAACAUGUAACUCGAGGUUAUGCAAUCUAAUGUCCACAGGCUCGAGAUACAAGGCCAACUUGGCAAGCUUUAUUUUCCUAAGCCAUCCAGAGGUCCAGGGCGACCACAUGCCCAUCACUCACGGUGGCGGCGAGAAGCACAUGCAUACGGCAAGCUCCGUGUUGAGAUGAUGAACCAACACCUGUUGGGAGCCCAGAUGAAGAAGGCUGCAGACGUGGAGAAAGCGGAUAAGUGAUGAGAUGUUUAUGGCAGCUAAUGGAUGAUGUUAUCUUAGUUUCUGAAUUUUUGUUUUGGUUGACUCGGAAACCUUGUUUGAUGUUUGAAGAUCCCUUUUUACCCACUCAUCAAAUCAUCUCUUCAUUUUUGUA
Molecule: long non-coding RNA, 1919 nt
Organism: Triticum aestivum (bread wheat)
Lineage: Eukaryota; Viridiplantae; Streptophyta; Magnoliopsida; Poales; Poaceae
Exons: 3
Source: RefSeq, a predicted model, not a curated record